GAUGAACGCUGGCGGCGUGCCUAAUACAUGCAAGUCGAGCGAACAGACGAGGAGCUUGCUCCUCUUACGUUAGCGGCGGACGGGUGAGUAACACGUAGAUAACCUACCUAUAAGACUGGGAUAACUUCGGGAAACCGGAGCUAAUACCGGAUAAUAUAUUGAACCGCAUGGUUCAAUAGUGAAAGACGGUUUUGCUGUCACUUAUAGAUGGAUCCGCGCCGCAUUAGCUAGUUGGUAAGGUAACGGCUUACCAAGGCAACGAUGCGUAGCCGACCUGAGAGGGGGAUCGGCCACACUGGAACUGAGACACGGUCCAGACUCCUACGGGAGGCAGCAGUAGGGAAUGUUCCGCAAUGGGCGAAAGCCUGACGGAGCAACGCCGCGUGAGUGAUGAAGGUCUUCGGAUCGUAAAACUCUGUUAUUAGGGAAGAACAAAUGUGUAAGUAACUAUGCACGUCUUGACGGUACCUAAUCAGAAAGCAACGGCUAACUACGUG
Molecule: ribosomal RNA, 497 nt
Filed under: uncultured bacterium
Lineage: Bacteria
Description: partial 16S ribosomal RNA
Rfam family: Bacterial small subunit ribosomal RNA
Source: RNAcentral